CUCCUACGGGAGGCAGGCAGUGGGGAAUAUUGGACCACAAUGGGGGAAACCCUGAUGCAGCGACGCCGCGUGGAGGAAGAAGGUCUUCGGAUUGUAAACUCCUGUUGUUGGGGAAGAUAAUGACGGUACCCAACAAGGAAGUGACGGCUAACUACGUGC
RNAcentral lists this ribosomal RNA (159 nucleotides) under uncultured bacterium. Its description in RNAcentral is "partial 16S ribosomal RNA". It matches the Rfam family "Bacterial small subunit ribosomal RNA", at positions 336 to 508 of the family's 1533-position model. The record is from RNAcentral.